GAAGUUUUUUCUUCCCUUUCACUGGGGGCCCAAAAGCCUAUCAAGAUGUUUUGACUCGCAAGCGAGACGCGAGCGGAGCGGCAGCAGUCUCUCGAGUCUUCCCGUUCCUCUCGCUGCGAAUCUCGGGCGAUCUCCGUUUCUCUGCCGGAUUCGCCGGUUUCUUCUCGCCUCCGGUUGCCUCUGGGUGGCCGGUGUGCGGGGAGAGCUGCGAAUCCGGUGGGAGAUGUACAUAUUCCCUUCUAAUAGAGUACAUCUAGAUAGGUUAGGGUUAGUUUCUCUCUCGGUGAGAAAUUCACCGGGAUUUUUUUGGUUUCCCCUUCAAAUCUUCUCUGCUACUGCUUGUAUCGUUGGUGAGCGGGAUUUGUUCGGUGCUGGAGUUCACAAGGUGCUUGGCGAUGGCUUCUAUUGCGGAGGAUUCAACACCGAUGGGUAUGUUACUGUUUCUUUCUUAUGCGUCGGCAAGCGAAUCGUCUGUAUGCUUCUUUGUGCCAUCGGAGUCCUUGGCAUCAUCAGCAACGAAGGUCUCGUAAACUACGACUUAGUGGUAGAUGAUUGGAGGGGUUCUAGUGGAUUUACCGGUGGAGGGUUAUUCAUCGGAAUUUUGUCCCUCCAAAGGUGUCCUAGUGGUCGUGUUAGGACCUUCCUUGUGAGGUUCGCUAUCCACCUUCCUAUAUGUACGGGUUGGUGUACUUGUCCCACCGUCUCUGGUGGUUUACUUCCCCUUCGGGGUUCUUGUUGUCCGGCGAGCCGGAGUUGUAGUAUGAGGCGUCAGACUCCCUGGUUCUGACAAUAUGAUGGCUGCCAGCAAUCUCUCCUAGCCUGUUCAUUCAUCGUCUUCAAGUUGCGUCGGUUCUCCGAUGUGUUGCUCAUGGUGCCUUUCAAACUUUGUUUCCUUUGUCGGUGUGGUGGCCGGCUUCAUAUAUGGCUCCGAUCAUCGGCGACGAGAAAGACCGGGGAUUCUUACAAGGAUCUGGAUAUAACUUCCGUUUUGUUUCAAGUUUGUCUCUUUAGGAUGGGUUGUAAACUACCAGUUUUAUUAUAAAUAAAAAUCCCGGUUCCUCUAAAAAAACGAGACGCGAGCGCACACAAAAGUGUUCCUUCGCUUCCUCUCAAAAAAAGUGUUCCUUCGGCCCAGCUGUCACACUGAAACAAAUGCAGCACUUGUUCAUUUAUUCAUUCAGUCGAAAAAUCAAACUUCCUAAAAAAAAGAAGAAGAAAAAUCCAACUGAUGCAACCGCAACAUUGGACGGAUAUUGAAAUACCGAGUUUGAGUAUGCUCGCUUUAAAUGUUAUUACUAGCUCACGAUUAUAAAAAGGACAUUCGGUUCAGUUUAGUCCAUGGUUUCAGCCGCUAGGAUUUCAACAAAUUGAACGCGCUCAAGGGAUCCUCGACAUCGAGGCGUAGUAGAGUACCCUCGCGGCUAGUGCAGCCAGUGAGCUUUUGUCUCAUGCUAAAAGACCAAAACGCAUGUAAUGAAAGGAAAAUAAGUAAAUAAACACCGUGUUCGGCUGGUCUCCAGCCCUCCAGCAUUAUAGUAUUUUUUUCUCACACCACUCCAGCUCUAGCCUCCAGCCACCAGCUAGGUAACAAUAUUUUUCUCUCACACUACUCCAGCUCCAGCCUGCCGAACACGGUGAAAAUAUUAAAUGGUAUGUGUACCUAUUUGUCUACAACGCAUAGUUGUUAGUUGUUGAAUGGCUCGCACCAGGUUAAGGUGAACUUUGCAUCACCAGGGGUUCUGAUUUGCGUAAAAACAAAAUGACCAAUGUUGUAGCCACAACUAUUUUAUUACACAGUGAGACACAAACCGUUUAAGGCAUUAUCUAUCUUUUCAAUAAGGGUAAAAAGAACUGAGAGCUCUUCUUAAGUAAUCAUUACUGUGAUGAAAGUUCUUUAAGACUCAUCGUCGCCGUUCUUAUAAGACCUUUGCUAUUUAUCUGUUGUCAGAUUUUUUUUUGUACCAAAUCUGUUAGAUUCUUAUACGUUUUAUUGUGCUUUAGGAUUUGUGCUAUAACUGUCUACUAGAUUGCACGUAUAAACAAAUCUUGACACUCCCUUAUAAUAAGUCAUAAUCGAAAUUAGAAAUCAGCCUUCUCGUCAUAUUCAUGCUCUGCAUGUUAAAGGACCAAGCAUUAUGCCUUAUUAUUUUUUUUCAUUUCUACUGUUUUCUUUCUAUAAGAUUGACUAUCUUUCUAUUUCUAUGUAUCUACCUCUCUAUUUUUUUGAGGAAGAGCGGAAGAAUGAGAAAAAAGUAUUUCCAGCUCUAUAUUGUUUUUCUAUAUAUUUGUUUAUAUAUUUAUCAAUCUAUCUAUUUGUCUAUCUUUCCAUCUCUAUCUAUAUAUCUAUCUCUAUCUUUUUUUUAUUGUUCUAUACCUAUCUAUUUCUAAUGUUUUCUAACUAUAUGGUUAUCUUUAUAUCUCUAUCUCUUUCUCCAUCUAUCUACUAUUUAUCUAUCUCUAAUGUUUAGGAGGAAGACUGAAGGUGUGAAAAUACAAAUGGGAGACCACGAGGAUGGCCCUUUGCCAUCUCUAUCUUUUUGCACUAUAAUUCUUUUUUAUAUAUAGCUUUCAGGAAAAUCUUUGUUAAAAUUUUUGUCAGAAAAACUGCAAGGUUUUUCAGAACUACACUUACUUACCAUGUGAAGUCUUGGCAAAAAAAAGGGAUGCAAAUUUCUACCAUUUUUUCAAAUUUUUGUAAUAGAGUUAUACCUGUCCAUUUCAUUUGGUUCAAAAUUUCAGAUGCAAAUUAAUUUCUCAAUUUGUUAGCGAAUGAAUGAAAGUGACUAUCAUCACAAAAAUAUGCAUGGUUAGCUCUCUGCACGCACGGAUUUGCAGCCUUCCAGGGGCCUCUUUUUUUUUUACACACGCUCGUUCACUCGGUCGGUCCAGUUGUUAUGCAGAAGCCAAAAUGCGGCCACUUAAUUGCCGAAGGAAAACGGACUAAAAUGAAUCCAACCAUGGAGUGGUAGCACACCGAUCUCAUCAUUAUUUCAUGGGAUCCCUUAUUUCAUCACUUCCGAGAAAAAGCCACAGGAUAUGGGAAUCCAUCCUUGGGAAGUUGGGAUGCGCUUUUCCCUUGGGCCCUGGCUGCAUCAAUAUCCUCGCAUCAAAUAUUCCAGGGACAGGCUGGCCUACAAAACGCAGCAUCCUCCAUAGGUCCCAGAACCCCUCGCAAACCACAAGCUCACCGCAGAGUUGCAGAGCAGAGAAACCAACCGGUCGAGAUGGCGGCAUCCGCUAUGAACCCGCUCGUCGCCGGCUGCCUCCUGGCCCUCGUCGUCGCCGCAGGUGCGGCGCGGACGGAGCCGGGCGCCACGGUGACGGACCCGGACAUGCUGCCGACGAGGCCCUGCCACAGCAACAACGGGUGGAGCGUCCACCUCUGCAAGGACGUGUGCCAGGCCAGCGGGUUCAGCCGCUACGACUUCGCCGUGCCGAACGCGGCCACCGGCGACAUGGCGCGCUGCUGCUGCUGCCCCAAGGGCUACAGGGGCGCGUGCCUCGAAGUCAAGGAGUAGGGGAGCCGCCGUCGUGUCCGCCGCAGGCUGAAGAGCCAGAGCGGCGCUUGUAAUCUAAGGGCAAUUUAUAGUCAUAAAAUAAUUGAAAAGAAAUGAAAGUUAAGCGGCAUCAUAUUAAUA
Molecule: long non-coding RNA, 3638 nt
Organism: Panicum virgatum (switchgrass)
Lineage: Eukaryota; Viridiplantae; Streptophyta; Magnoliopsida; Poales; Poaceae
Exons: 2
Source: RefSeq, a predicted model, not a curated record